This 468-nucleotide ribosomal RNA is filed under the name uncultured bacterium. RNAcentral's name for it is "partial 16S ribosomal RNA". It matches the Rfam family "Bacterial small subunit ribosomal RNA", at positions 28 to 507 of the family's 1533-position model. The record is from RNAcentral.
GACGAACGCUGGCGGCGUGCUUAACACAUGCAAGUCGAACGGAAAGGCCCUGCUUUUGUGGGGUGCGCGGGUGGCGAACGGGUGAGUAACCCGUGAGUAACCUGCCCUUGACGUUGGGUUAUCUUAAGAAAACUGGGGCUCUUCCGGGGUAGGAGUUCUUGCGCCUGGGGGGGGCUGGGAAAGUUUCGCUGGUUGGGGCGGGACCCGGGGAUGAACAGCUUGUGGGGGGGGUAGGGGAAUACCGAGGCAUGGACCGGUGGCCGAGCUGAGAGGGUGGCCGGCCCCGCUGGGACUGAGAUACGGCCCAGACUCGAACGGGAGGCAACAGUGGGGAGUAUUGCACAGUGGGCGGAAGCCUGGUGCGACAACGCCGCGUGCGGGAUGACGGCCUGCGGGUUGUAAACCGCUUUCGCCUGAGACGAGGCGUGAGUGACGGUAAUGGGUAAAGAAGCACCGGCUAACUACGUG